This 484-nucleotide ribosomal RNA is filed under the name uncultured bacterium. Its description in RNAcentral is "partial 16S ribosomal RNA". It matches the Rfam family "Bacterial small subunit ribosomal RNA", at positions 29 to 523 of the family's 1533-position model. The record is from RNAcentral.
AGUGAACGCUGGCGGCGUGCUUAACACAUGCAAGUCGAACGAGAACGGGCUAUAGCUUGCUAUAGUUGUCAGCUAAGUGGCGCACGGGUGAGUAAUGUAUAGGUAAUAUGCCUCUUACUAAGGGAUAACAAAUGGAAACGUUUGCUAAUACCUUAUACUCCUUAUUAACAGAAGUUAAUAAGGGAAAGAUUUAUUGGUAAGAGAUUAGCCUGUAUUGUAUCAGUUAGUUGGUGGGGUAAUGGCUUACCAAGACUAUGACACAUAACUGGUUUGAGAGGAUGAUCAGUCACACUGGAACUGAGACACGGUCCAGACUCCUACGGGAGGCAGCAGUGGGGAAUAUUGCACAAUGGACGAAAGUCUGAUGCAGCAACGCCGCGUGGAGGAUGACACAUUUCGGUGCGUAAACUCCUUUUAUAUGAGAAGAUAAUGACGGUAUUAUAUGAAUAAGGACCGGCUAAUUCCGUGCCAGCAGCCGCAGUAA